This 233-nucleotide ribosomal RNA is filed under the name Eucoccidiorida sp. RNAcentral's name for it is "partial small subunit ribosomal RNA". The record is from RNAcentral. Lineage: Eukaryota; Apicomplexa; Conoidasida; Eucoccidiorida.
CCCAAUUCUAACAGCAUAAGAGAGGUAGUGACAAGAAAUAACARUACAAGGCAGUUAAAAUGCUUUGUAAUUGGAAUGAUAGAAAUUUAAACACUUUUUAAAGUAUCAAUUGGAGGGCAAGUCUGGUGCCAGCAGCCGCGGUAAUUCCAGCUCCAAUAGCGUAUAUUAAAAUUGUUGCAGUUAAAAAGCUCGUAGUUGAAUUUCUGCUAAAAAUAACCGGUCUGCUUUUAUUA